GCCAGCGAGGCCCACUCUCUGAGCGGGACAAAACACACACACACACACACACACACACACACACACACACUCACACUGGUAAUCAAGACAGAAUCUCCCUCGUAGGCCACAGUCAAAAGUGGGGAGGAGGGAGAGGGAGGAGAGGGUCGAGGGGGAAAAGGGGAGAGAGACACAGAGACUGAGAGACAGAGGCAGAGACAGAGAGGCAGAGGCAGAGACAGAGAGGCAGACCCAGAGACAGAGAGAGACAGAAAGAGAUAGAGAAACAGAAAGACAGAGAGAGGGAGAGCGCAACUAGUCUCUCUCAUCUCUCUCCUCACCCCACCCCCUCAACCCGGGGCCCUCUCCCCCACUUUCACUUUAUUUCCAUGAUUAGUGUGACCAAAAUUAAUGAAUUAAUGGCUCCUAAUCGGGGCUGGCACGGGGGAAGUUUAGUUUGUUACUUUUAUUGAUUGUUUUGGGCGAGGGGGGAGAGGGAGGAGGAGGUGGGGAGGCAGAGGAGUUUCGAGGCAGCGUCUCUGUCUCCCCUCGAGGUCUCCAAGCCCGGGUCCUCUCAGUCGGCAGCAGGGGCGAAGGACAAAAGAAUGGAAAGUACAAAAUGGAAGCAGGACAAUGACCUUGGGAGAUGGAAAAAUGACUACUUCAGAAACUUGAGACCUGAAGUAGAAGCCAAAGAAAUACCAAGCUGCUUCUACUUGUCCAACCAAACCCUCACUCCAGGGAAGGGAACCAAGGGAAAGAAGUCCCCUGAGGGGGAACUCUCCAGGUGGUAUACCCUGGAAACAGAGAGUCCUGUAAACUUGGGCAGUGAAAAUGAAGAUGAGACUAACAAAGACUCUCCAGAACUGCCUAGUAUCAUCAAGAGAAGGAAUCAGGAACCCAUUUUCCUCAAUCUCCUUGGCAAAAAGGAAAAGAAAUGGAAACGAGGCAGCACAGAUCCUUUUCCUGGUUGA
Molecule: long non-coding RNA, 953 nt
Filed under: Ornithorhynchus anatinus (platypus)
Lineage: Eukaryota; Metazoa; Chordata; Mammalia; Monotremata; Ornithorhynchidae
Description: lncRNA (ENSOANG00000047560.1)
Source: RNAcentral